CAAACCACAGAAGGAAGCAAACUGAAGCACUGAGUGUCAGCUUCUUCCCAUUCCAUUGUUGUGUAAGCUCCCUGAUGAUCUUCUCCAGCCAGGGUCUGAGAGACUGCAGAUGACGAUGUUUUCUAAGUCCAAGAUCUCUGGCCAUGCAAGAGUGUUUGGUCUUUGCCUCAGUGUGUGGAAAGAAAUUCUGGACUCUGAAUCAAUCAGUCAUUACUGUCCUGUGUCAUCCUCAUCUUUGAGGGCUCAGGGACCAGUCCGGCAAGAUACCGAGAUGCCAUCAAUGUCAAUGAGAGUAUGUUGUUACCAUCUGCUGCUGAGCUAAGGGCUCGAGAAGCCCCGUUCAGAAAUGGGACCAGGACUGAUCGGGAAAGGGAGCUGGCUGGAAAGAAUUGAGCCAGGCCAAGUCCUGAAACAACAGCUGCAUCUCAUGGUUGCUAACAGAGCUAACUGGAUAC
Long non-coding RNA from Mauremys mutica (yellowpond turtle), 455 nucleotides. RefSeq lists it as uncharacterized. The record is from RefSeq and is a predicted model, not a curated record. The transcript is spliced from 4 exons. NCBI's taxonomy places the organism in Eukaryota, Metazoa, Chordata, Testudines, Geoemydidae.